This 28-nucleotide non-coding RNA is filed under the name Rattus norvegicus (Norway rat). The record is from RNAcentral. Lineage: Eukaryota; Metazoa; Chordata; Mammalia; Rodentia; Muridae.
UCUGGGAACACUCUCAAGAGAAUGCCCA